AGCAGCCGCGGUAAUUCCAGCUCCAAUAGCGUAUAUUAAAGUUGCUGCAGUUAAAAAGCUCGUAGUUGAAUUUCGGGACUAAUAUGUUGGUCGUGCCUCGGUACGUACUGAUAUUUUUGGUUUCUCCCUUCUGACGAACCUUGAUGUCAUUAAUUUGGUGUCUUGGGAAAUCAGGACUGUUACUUUGAAAAAUUAGAGUGUUUAAAGCAGGCUCACGCUUGAAUACAUUAGCAUGGAAUAAUGAAAUAGGACGUUUGAUUCUAUUUUGUUGGUUUCUAGGAUCGACGUAAUGAUUAAUAGGGAUAGUUGGGGGCAUUAGUAUUCAAUUGUCAGAGGUGAAAUUCUUGGAUUUAUUGAAGAAUAACUACUGCGAAAGCAUUUGCCAAGGAUGUUUUCAUUAAUCAAGAACGAAAGUUAGGGGAUCGAAGACGAUCAGAUACCGUCGUAGUCUUAACCAUAAACUAUGCCGGCUAGGGAUCGGAUGAUGUUAAUUUUUAAUGACUCAUUCGGCGCC
This 514-nucleotide ribosomal RNA is filed under the name uncultured Glomus. Its description in RNAcentral is "SSU rRNA". It matches the Rfam family "Eukaryotic small subunit ribosomal RNA", at positions 569 to 1087 of the family's 1831-position model. The record is from RNAcentral. Lineage: Eukaryota; Fungi; Glomeromycota; Glomeromycetes; Glomerales; Glomeraceae.